AUACGUAGGGGGCGAGCGUUGUCCGGAAUGAUUGGGCGUAAAGGGCGCGUAGGCGGCGCGGUAAGUCUGGAGUGAAAGUCCUGCUUUCGAGGUGGGAAUUGCUUUGGAUACUGCCGCGCUUGAGUGCAGGAGAGGUUAUCGGAAUUCCCGGUGUAGCGGUGAAAUGCGUAGAGAUCGGGAGGAACACCAGUGGCGAAGGCGGGUAACUGGACUGCAACUGACGCUGAGGCGCGAAAGUGUGGGGAGCAAACAGGAUUAGAUACCCUGGUAGUCCACACUGUAAACGAUGAAUGCUAGGUGUAAGAGGUAUCGACCCCUUUUGUGCCGGAGUCAACACAAUAAGCAUUCCGCCUGGGGAGUACGGCCGCAAGGUUGAAACUCAAAUGAAUUGGCGGGG
Molecule: ribosomal RNA, 397 nt
Filed under: uncultured bacterium
Lineage: Bacteria
Description: partial 16S ribosomal RNA
Rfam family: Bacterial small subunit ribosomal RNA
Source: RNAcentral